This 791-nucleotide long non-coding RNA is filed under the name Phasianus colchicus (ring-necked pheasant). RNAcentral's name for it is "lncRNA (ENSPCLG00000017732.1)". Lineage: Eukaryota; Metazoa; Chordata; Aves; Galliformes; Phasianidae. The record is from RNAcentral.
AUGACCCCAAUGUCAGCACUCCCUUUUUUGUAUCUCUUUUGGGGCCGCUUCGCCUCCGUUUGGGGUUUGGGGUCGUUAUGGGGUGGGAGAAGCUAUGGGGUGGGGGCUGCUAUAGGGUUGGAUCUGCUGUGGGGUGGGGGCUGCUAUGGGGUGGGAGAAGCUAUGGGGUCGAGUUGCUCUGGGGUGGGGGCUGCUAUGGGGUCAAGCUGUUAUGCGGUGAGAGAAGCUAUGGGGUGGGGGCUGCUAUGGGGUGGGAGCUGCUAUGGGGUGAGGGCUGCUAUGGGGUGGGAGAAGCUAUGGGGUGAGAGCUGCUAUGGGGUCGAGCUGCUAUGGGGUGAGAGAAGCUAUGGGGUGAGAGCUGCUAUAGGGUGGGGGCUGCUAUGGGGUGGGAGAAGCUAUGGGGUCGAGCUGCUAUGGGGUGGGAACUGCUAUGGGGUCAAACUGCUAUGGGGUGAGGGCUGCUAUGGGGUGGGAGCUGCUAUAGGGUUGGAUCUGCUAUGGGGUGAGGGCUGCUAUGGGGUUGGGAUUGGGAUUGGAGCUGGGGUUGGGAUUUGGGGUCAGGAUUGGGAUCGGGAUUGGAGCUGGGGUUGGGAUUGGGAGCAGAAUUUAGGAUUGGGAUUAGGAUUGGGGUUGGGAUUGGGAGCAGGGUUCAGGAUUGGGAUUAGGAUUGGGGUUGGGAUUGGGGUGGGAUUGCGACUGGGAUCUGGAGUUGGGGUUGGGAUUGGGAUCAGGAUUGGGAUCGGGAUUGGGAUCGGGAUUGAGAUUGGGAUCAGCAUUGGAAUCAGGAUCUG